RNAcentral lists this unclassified non-coding RNA (344 nucleotides) under soil metagenome. Its description in RNAcentral is "partial contains 5.8S ribosomal RNA, internal transcribed spacer 2, and large subunit ribosomal RNA". The stretch from base 1 to 119 matches the Rfam family "5.8S ribosomal RNA", at positions 36 to 154 of the family's 154-position model. The record is from RNAcentral.
AUGAAGAACGUAGCGAAAUGCGAUACGUAAUGUGAAUUGCAGAAUUCAGUGAAUCAUCGAGUCUUUGAACGCACAUUGCGCCCCCUGGUAUUCCGGGGGGCAUGCCUGUCCGAGCGUCAUUGCUGCCCUCAAGCACGGCUUGUGUGUUGGGCCUCCGUCCUCCUCCCGGGGGACGGGCCCGAAAGGCAGCGGCGGCACCGCGUCCGGUCCUCGAGCGUAUGGGGCUUCGUCACCCGCUCUUGUAGGCCCGGUCGGCGCUUGCCGACACAUCAAUCUUUUUUCCAGGUUGACCUCGGAUCAGGUAGGGAUACCCGCUGAACUUAAGCAUAUCAAUAAGCGGAGGA